Molecule: ribosomal RNA, 301 nt
Filed under: uncultured bacterium
Lineage: Bacteria
Description: partial 16S ribosomal RNA
Rfam family: Bacterial small subunit ribosomal RNA
Source: RNAcentral
CAGUCGCCGCGGUAAUACGUAGGUGGCAAGCGUUGUCCGGAAUUAUUGGGCGUAAAGCGCGCGCAGGCGGAUAGGUCAGUCUGUCUUAAAAGUUCGGGGCUUAACCCCGUGAUGGGAUGGAAACUGCCAAUCUAGAGUAUCGGAGAGGAAAGUGGAAUUCCUAGUGUAGCGGUGAAAUGCGUAGACAUUAGGAAGAACGCCAGUGGCAAAGGCGACUUUCUGGACGAAAACUGACGCUGAGGCGCGAAAGCCAGGGGAGCGAACGGGAUUAGAUACCCCUGUAGUCCCUGUCUCUUAUACA